UACAAACUCGAAUGGUUAGUAUGAACGUGGAACUUGGUUGGACCGUCACUGGCCAACAAACUAUACACAACUUUCGACAACGGAUCUCUUGGUUCUCCCAUCGAUGAAGAACGCAGCGAAACGCGAUAGGUAAUGUGAAUUGCAGAAUUCCGUGAAUCAUCGAAUCUUUGAACGCACCUUGCGCUCUAUGGCAAUCCGUAGAGCAUGCCUGUUUGAGUACCAUGAAAUCUCCCACCCCAAGCGGUUUUUACAUGAAACGGCUUGGCGGAUGGGGUCUGGAUGGGUGCCUCUGCCUGCGCUACCUAGCACAGGCUCGCCCGAAAUGCAUGAGCGCCUUGAGACACUUUGCAUCCGCCUCUCUGUUUGGGAGGAGGCGGCCAAGCAGUGUUUUUCUCCUGGCAUGGCAUGAUACGUCAUUUGCUAUGUCGCCUAAAGGAGGAAUGUUUGGUUGUGUCUGCGUGUGCUUCGAACUUGCCUCUGUGGCACAUCCCAAUUUCACUUCUGGUCUCAAAUCAGGUAGGAUCACCCGCUGAACUUAAGCAUAUCAAUAAGCGGAGGA
RNAcentral lists this ribosomal RNA (559 nucleotides) under uncultured Malassezia. RNAcentral describes it as "partial 18S ribosomal RNA". The stretch from base 69 to 222 matches the Rfam family "5.8S ribosomal RNA". The record is from RNAcentral. Lineage: Eukaryota; Fungi; Basidiomycota; Malasseziomycetes; Malasseziales; Malasseziaceae.